UACAGAGGUGGCAAGCGUUGUUCGGAAUUACUGGGCGUAAAGGGCGCGUAGGCGGUCUUGUAAGUCUUGUGUGAAAGCCCCCGGCUCAACUGGGGAGGGUCAUUCGAUACUGUUCGACUCGAAGGCAGGAGAGGGAAGUGGAAUUCCCGGUGUAGUGGUGAAAUGCGUAGAUAUCGGGAGGAACACCAGUGGCGAAGGCGACUUCCUGGCCUGUUCUUGACGCUGAGGCGCGAAAGCUAGGGGAGCAAACGGG
This 253-nucleotide ribosomal RNA is filed under the name uncultured bacterium. RNAcentral describes it as "partial 16S ribosomal RNA". It matches the Rfam family "Bacterial small subunit ribosomal RNA", at positions 524 to 776 of the family's 1533-position model. The record is from RNAcentral.